GAGCCCAGUUGGAGAGCUCUCUCGCUCCACACGUUUCACGGGUGUGCGUGAGGGUUCCAGGUUCGGACCUGUAAUAAAGAUCCUCGCUGCUUGGCUUUGACUCUGGACUCUGGUGGUCUUCUCCGGGGAAUAAACGGUCUGGGCAUAACACAUGACAAUCCCAAAAGGUACUGAAAGUUAAGAACAUUGCUUAGAGGAAAAGAUGGUAUGACUUCAUACUCAGUGCCUCAUUAUCCCAUACUGCAGUUUGGCUUUGAACCACCAAUCCCAGAAGACACUAUCGUAUUAUUCUCCAAUAAAUCUUUUGUACUUUAAACUUCAUCUCAGCUUCUUCAUCCUGGAGAACCCAAGGCAACACAAGGAAUAUUUGAUGAAACUAAGGCAAAGUGGGAAUGACAUCUGAGGGCUGGUUGCAGAAGAUAUUCUGAACGCCAUAGAAGAAAAUAAGAGCUGAACUUUAACAAGAAAGUAUGCAGAAAUAUCUUCCGUGGAGGAGGUCAUAGAGAAUGCAUGAAGAUGCCAAACACCCAGAAAAGACAGUGGAAUAAUUCAGUCUGAGUCUGAAGGCCUGGGAACCAGGGAAACUGAUGGUGUAAACUGGAGUCCAAAAGCAGGAGAAGAUGAAAUGAGAUGUCUGAACUCAAUCGUGAGGAAGGAAUAAGAGGGAGAAUCUCUCCUUCCUCUGCUUUUUGCUUUAUUCAGGCCCACAAUGGAUUGGGUGAUGCCCAUUCACAUUGAGGAGCAAGCACCUCACCCACCUCGUCGAGAUUCUGUACCCGUUGGAGAUUCUCUACUUGAUGUGGCAGAGGAAACCCAAAGUGGCUAGGUGGCAACAUUAACUUCUAAUUCGAAGAAAUAAUAGUUGUUUCUGUUGGUGGAAACAUUUCUCCCUCUGGAACUAAGACCUAUACUCCAGGAAGGAAUAAUACCAUAAGAACAAAGAGAAAAAAACAAUCUCUAAUGCCUUACCAGACAUAAUAAAACACCACCAUAUAUUGAAAACUGAUUCAAAGCAUAUACAGUUUUCUGAAGAACUUUGCUGCAGUCCUGAAGGAUAUUGCCAUCCAGACAGCACUCUAACUGAGACUUUAAAAUUUUAUCAAGAUUUGUACCAAGAUUUUAUCAAGCCAGCCGAUUCUGCAUGGUUGGGAAGAAUGCAAAAACCUGUGAAUUCCAUGAAUGUGGGCCCAUUGCCACAAUUCUUUGGGUAUGAAAUUAGUUCCUUGAUCAGGAGCAAUGCUUCGUGGAAUACCUUGAUGAUAGAUAAAGCAUUCUGAGGUCCACAAAUGAUAGUUUGCACUGAAAAACUGCAUGCAGGGAAGGAAAAUUCCUAUCCAAAGUAAGUAUCUAUUCCAGUAAAAAUGAAAGGCUGCCCCUUUCUUGAUGGAAAAAGUAUAAAGCAAUCAACCUGCCACCAGACUAAUCAUACUAUCAGGGGCUUGAUGUUGGUACGUGUUGCUGGCAAAUUGGGUACUUCUAUUUAGUGGCUGU
Piliocolobus tephrosceles (Ugandan red Colobus) is the source of this 1491-nucleotide long non-coding RNA. RefSeq lists it as uncharacterized. NCBI's taxonomy places the organism in Eukaryota, Metazoa, Chordata, Mammalia, Primates, Cercopithecidae. The transcript has 8 exons. The record is from RefSeq and is a predicted model, not a curated record.